UGAAAUUACUUUCUUGUGUAUCUAUGAUUACACUUAGGGUUUAUCUACAUAGGGAAAUUUGCUGGUAUAAUUAUACCAGUGUAACUAACUCCCCAUGGGGACACUCAGAUUCCAAAAUGAGUAUGAUUUUUACCAGUUUAGCGGUCACUUAGAAAACUGUAUAAGUUAAACCUGAAGGUAGGAUCUGUUAUCCAAAAGAUUAGUUUUUUUACAUAGAUAUAAUAGCUAUACCAUUACAUUUCCUUUUCUAGAUAAGCCCUUCAUAAUGUGUUAACUGCAGUCUAAUCCUCCUCUUUUAGGUCCAUUCUCUCCAGAAAUCAGUCUUUUUUCUCUCUAAAUACUGAAAAAGGAAAAGUCAUCUACUCCAUUAAUAUUAUACCUUAAUCUUGCAUACUUGAGUGCUUUCUGAAUACUGGAAGCAUUUUGUAAACUGAUCUGAAGCCAAAGGUUUUGAAAAUGAGGUUGAAAUCUCACCACCAAAUAAUUAUUUUAUGGAUACAAACAUUUUUAUGUAAUACUGUUAAAAGUGUUUUCAUUUUCUGUAGUUAUGAAAAUAAAGGACAUAUCUCAGAUGUGGGAAACACUAUUUUAAACACUGUUCUUGUUAAUAAGAAAUCUAUAUUAAUAUAUGGCAUACAAAUAUCAGAAUUCAAAAUUAAGUAUAGUACUUGGUGUUUCUCAGUAUCACCUUUUUAUCUAGAGUUAUGGUGGUAAGUAAGGUAUGGAAAUACUAUUCUCACUACUUCACAACAUGGUGGGCGGAGGUGUUUUUUGGUCUCUAUCAUAUCCUUUAUGUAAAUACAGUGAUUUAUUUGUAUGGUCAUAACUUUUAAUCUCAAUGGUGGUUUGAAAAACAAAGCCCUAAUAGUGUAUCAAAACGGGGAUUUUACCUUUUAGGCAGGGUAUGAUUUUGCAUAGUGAGUGUGAGAGUGGCUUGUAGUCAACUAGAAGGAUAUUGUCACUGGCAUUACAGAAGAUGUGAACUGGGCUAUAUUUUAAAAUGGCCACAACUAUGUAUUGAAGCUCAGCAUACCUUCAUUUCUUUUAAUUAAGAAGAGAAAGAUCUGCAUUUCAGGUUUGAGCCCUAGGUUGAUAAGAACUUUUCACAUUCUUCAAAUAUUUUGUCAGGAUCCCCCAGAAAAGAUGGGUAGAUAAUGGCUUGUUUUUUCUCCUGUGAAAAAGGUAUAAUGAAGAAACAGUAGGGAUGAAAGAAUGCCAAAACAAUCAUGAGUUUUAUAUUUAGGUAUGCUUCUAACUGAUCUACCAGUCAAAUUUGCCAAUUGAUUAAGCAAGCUAAAUGUUUUAUUUUGGAAGAUGACGCAUACUUGCUCCUCUUUUAAGAUUAAUAUUAGUAUUUUGCUUAGAUUAACGUUCACAGGCAGCCACUAUCACUUUCAGUUAGACAAUUGUAAUGUGUUACUUACCCUCCUCAUGAAUGACAGACAGUUGUUUAAAACAAAAAACAAAGCAGCCUUUGCUUGGAUGAUUUCUCUAAUCCUGCACUUCAGUAAACGAAAGAUAUGUUUUAAAUAUAUUGCCUGCAUUGUAUGGUAUACAUAUUCUUCUCACUCAUGAUUUUUUUAAGUACAUUAGGAUACUUUCAGUGCAUUUGAGGAGAAGAAAACACCUGUACACUGUAGCUAAAAAAUCAACUCUGCAAAAAUAUAAUGUAAUAAUGACCCAAACCUGAAUAACCUAGUGCAUUGUACUGUUCAGUUAUUUUCUGCAUUUGAAAUAGAAUGCACACACUAAAUGUCACUGAAUUACAGAUCUUUUUGUAAAAUAAAAAUGUAAUUCACACUGGCACACAAGGGGUAAACUGGGUGCCCUUACUGUUGAUAUUAGAUUGACAUCAGUGCACUCCAGUUUUGCUUUCUGUAUAAGUAUUCAUGAGCCAUCUUUAUUUUCUAGCUAGGCUACAAGUACAAGACCAUCCUUUUGGUACAAUUGAUACUUUGCAUCCGUUUAUAUAGCAGUGGAACUGCUGUUGUGUACUAUAGAGGGUAUUUAGGGCUUGUUUUAUGGAGCCUUCCUUGGGUUCAUUCCUCUUCAUAGGUCCUCUGGAUCCCUGCAUACGAGACAUCCACUGAUUGCCAACUGAGGUUGGAGACUGCUGUUGCAUAAACAAGCCAUUGCUCUGCCAGGAGUGCAGCAAGUGAAGCAGACAGUUCCUCAAAGAAUGCUUUAGGCAGCAAUCAUGCUAUGCAAGCCCAGGCUACAAAUAGGGAAGGAAUGGAUGCCAGUGAUGUCACAUUCUGAACAAGAAUAAAGUUAAUGGCGGGGCUGGAGGAAAGACAAACAUUUCCAGCGGCGGUCUGAGAUUGUGAAAUGAAUUUCAACAAGAACUAAGGACUAUCACGAACCUCACCACUUCCUGCUUCAAGUGCAAAGCAUAUUUCUCUGACUAUGCUUUCUCUAACAUAACAUGUUGGUUGCUAUGUGCUUCAUUUAAAAAAAACCCGAAAACCAUCCUACAAGAACAAGACCCUCGAUUGUACACGCUUGCUGUGUAGAAAUUGAGAGAACAAACAUGACAUGUUAAUCCCGUCAGUGCACUAUGGGAAGGUGCUCAAAUACUACAGUAAUGAGAACAGUACAAGAAUGUGUAUAGAAUAAAUAAUCUGCUUUCUUUAACUAGAAAACAAUUAGAGGUUCCCAUAUCUUAUCUGGAAAUACACUGAUCUUUCAGAAAAGCUUUCAGAUGUUGAAGACAACUGAAAACAUUUCCCUGUUCCCCUUUGGGUUUUUUUUCUUUCACAUUUAAUGGCUAUUGUAAUAGUGAUACUGUAUUUUAGUCUGCAAAAGAUAAUGGAAUAUCUGUUUACUGAGUAAUUCUGAAUCAUCUGCAGUUUGCAUAAGAGAAUUUUCACUACUUCCUCACAGUUGAUCAAUUAAUCUUGUUAUAUUUCAUUUUGCAUGACAUUUAACCUUAUAUUUUCCAAGCUGUAGCAUAACAUCUGACUAUUUUAGUGGGAGUUGACCAAGCAAAACUCAAAAAAGCAAAUAUUUUAGAUGGUAAGAGCUCAAAUUAAAGUUCAUAACAACAGCUUGUGGUGAUUUAAGGAAUCUGUGUACAACUGAUGAAUUCUGGUUAAUUUUAUGAAAUUGUUGCAUCGCUCAAUCAUCAAUAUGCAUGCAUCAGCAAUGAGGUGACAACAUCCCUGACAGAUAUCCCUUCAUGUGAGGAAGAAUCUAACAAGAACAACAACAAAAAGAUGUUAACUUUAAGGGCUGGGCUCUGGCUGAACAGUACAGCUCCCAAGGAGAGUGCUGGAGCAAGGAGAAUAGGUCUAGCCAGAAGGGAAGAGAGAAUGGAAAAUCCCCAGACUGCAGCUUCUCAAACCUGGGUCUGAAGACAGUGGUGAGGCGUGGCUGAAUU
Non-coding RNA from Pelodiscus sinensis (Chinese soft-shelled turtle), 3379 nucleotides. The record is from RefSeq and is a predicted model, not a curated record. Lineage: Eukaryota; Metazoa; Chordata; Testudines; Trionychidae.